This 698-nucleotide ribosomal RNA is filed under the name uncultured Pseudomonadaceae bacterium. RNAcentral describes it as "SSU rRNA". It matches the Rfam family "Bacterial small subunit ribosomal RNA", at positions 56 to 749 of the family's 1533-position model. The record is from RNAcentral. Lineage: Bacteria; Pseudomonadati; Pseudomonadota; Gammaproteobacteria; Pseudomonadales; Pseudomonadaceae.
UGCAAGUCGAGCGGAUGAAGGGAGCUUGCUCCUGGAUUCAGCGGCGGACGGGUGAGUAGUGCCUAGGAAUCUGCCUGGUAGUGGGGGAUAACGUCCGGAAACGGGCGCUAAUACCGCAUACGUCCUGAGGGAGAAAGUGGGGGAUCUUCGGACCUCACGCUAUCAGAUGAGCCUAGGUCGGAUUAGCUAGUUGGUGGGGUAAAGGCCUACCAAGGCGACGAUCCGUAACUGGUCUGAGAGGAUGAUCAGUCACACUGGAACUGAGACACGGUCCAGACUCCUACGGGAGGCAGCAGUGGGGAAUAUUGGACAAUGGGCGAAAGCCUGAUCCAGCCAUGCCGCGUGUGUGAAGAAGGUCUUCGGAUUGUAAAGCACUUUAAGUUGGGAGGAAGGGCAGUAAGUUAAUACCUUGCUGUUUUGACGUUACCAACAGAAUAAGCACCGGCUAACUUCGUGCCAGCAGCCACGGUAAUACGAAGGGUGCAAGCGUUAAUCGGAAUUACUGGGCGUAAAGCGCGCGUAGGUGGUUCAGCAAGUUGGAUGUGAAAUCCCCGGGCUCAACCUGGGAACUGCAUCCAAAACUACUGAGCUAGAGUACGGUAGAGGGUGGUGGAAUUUCCUGUGUAGCGGUGAAAUGCGUAGAUAUAGGAAGGAACACCAGUGGCGAAGGCGACCACAUGGACUGAUACUGACACUGA